UACUCCAUGCAGGACAUGGGAGGGGGAGGGAUUCACCCUGUGUAAACAGGAAUAGGUGCAUCACCGGUCACUGAGCUGGCAAGCUAAAGUUAGCUAGUUAGUCAUAGAAAUGUAGUUCAGCCUGUUAAUUAUUUCAGUCCGAUUUGACUUAUCUUACGAAGUCCGCAUGGCUUAACAGUUUCUUUCGUUUUUGACCUCGACGUUGUUGCUGGAUAGAUACUUUCAUAUCUAACAUGCUGGCGAUGCUAGCCAGCUAACCUCAUAUCUGGAUGCCUCACUCUAGUUCCCGAUAGAGCAGCAUACUGGACCUCCAUUCCCAAACUUGAAGCCCCCUGUCCCCAGCUGGAAAGACCAGGAAAAAGUGUUGGCUUAAGAUCUGCCAACCUGCUCGGUGGGUGACAGGUAACCGUCUUUCCACCAAGCUGUUCCAGGCCUGGAGUGGCACGUUGGAACUUCCAGAGGCUUGUAGACCUAAAGCGGUGUGAUGUGGUCCAGAUCUGACACCCCUAUUAGCUCAACCACAGUCUUCACAGCUGCAGUCGUCUGCAUCUGAUACACCGGCCACGACAGGUGAUACAGAGACGGGAAGAGGUGAUUGGAACAGAAUACUUGACAGCUUACUGCCAUGGCUAGAGUGUGGUGUGUCCCUAUGGAAUUGGUUAGAGAAUGCCAUGCACCCUUGGGAAUAAAGCCUUCAGCAGUGGAUUUGGGUUGUGGUCAUUAUUGUGGAGUCACUACAAUGUGGUUGAUCCAUCCUCACCAAGGCCUCAUGGCGACAUACCUGAGCAGUUUCCUUCCUGUCCUGCAUCUCAAUUCCAAAGGACAACUGUAUCUUUGAUGUGUCUGGGUGGUUUAAUACAUCAUCCACAGCAUAUUAUUAACUUGGCCAUGCUUAAAUAGAUAUUCAAUGUCUGAUUUGUUAUUAUGACUUAUCUACCAAUCACUGCCUUUCUUUAUGAGGCUUGCAAAAAGCUUCCUGGUCUUUGCAGUUGAAAUUGUGCUUGAAAUGCAAUAUUUGAAUGAGGGACCUAACAGAUGUUGAAGGUAUGGGGGACAGAGGAAGGGGUAGUCAUUCAAAAAUCGUGUUGACUCAUAUUAUUUCACACAGAGUGAGUCCAUGUAACUUGAUUUGUUAUGCAAAAUGUUACUCCUGAACUAAUUUAUUUCAGUAGUUAUGAAAUUAGUAUAUUUCAUUUGUAUAAAUUAGUAAACAUUUGUGGAAUUUUCUUUUCACUUUGACAUUAUGGAGUAUUUUGUGUAGAUCAAUGACAAAAAAAAUCUACGAAAUGUGAAUUCAAGGGGGGUGAGGUAGCCUAGCAGUUAAAGAGGUGAGGUAGCCUAGCAGUUAAAGAGCGUUGGGCAAUUAACUGAAAGGUCACUGGU
Salvelinus sp. IW2-2015 is the source of this 1383-nucleotide long non-coding RNA. RefSeq lists it as uncharacterized. The record is from RefSeq and is a predicted model, not a curated record. Lineage: Eukaryota; Metazoa; Chordata; Actinopteri; Salmoniformes; Salmonidae.